Molecule: transfer RNA, 76 nt
Filed under: Arcanobacterium sp. S3PF19
Lineage: Bacteria; Bacillati; Actinomycetota; Actinomycetes; Actinomycetales; Actinomycetaceae
Also listed under: 1 other name
Description: tRNA-Lys
Rfam family: tRNA
About the family: Transfer RNA (tRNA) molecules are approximately 80 nucleotides in length. Their secondary structure includes four short double-helical elements and three loops (D, anti-codon, and T loops). Further hydrogen bonds mediate the characteristic L-shaped molecular structure. tRNAs have two regions of fundamental functional importance: the anti-codon, which is responsible for specific mRNA codon recognition, and the 3' end, to which the tRNAs corresponding amino acid is attached (by aminoacyl-tRNA synthetases). tRNAs cope with the degeneracy of the genetic code in two manners: having more than one tRNA (with a specific anti-codon) for a particular amino acid; and 'wobble' base-pairing, i.e. permitting non-standard base-pairing at the 3rd anti-codon position.
Source: RNAcentral
GCACCGCUAGCUCAACUGGCAGAGCAUCUGACUCUUAAUCAGAGGGUUCUGGGUUCGAGUCCCAGGCGGUGUACGA